UACGUAGGGUGCGAGCGUUGUCCGGAAUUAUUGGGCGUAAAGAGCUUGUAGGCGGUUUGUCGCGUCUGCCGUGAAAUUUCGAGGCUCAACCUCGAACUUGCGGUGGGUACGGGCAGACUAGAGUGUGGUAGGGGAGACUGGAAUUCCUGGUGUAGCGGUGAAAUGCGCAGAUAUCAGGAGGAACACCGAUGGCGAAGGCAGGUCUCUGGGCCACUACUGACGCUGAGGCACGAAAGCGUGGGGAGCAAACAGG
RNAcentral lists this ribosomal RNA (253 nucleotides) under uncultured bacterium. Its description in RNAcentral is "partial 16S ribosomal RNA". It matches the Rfam family "Bacterial small subunit ribosomal RNA", at positions 524 to 776 of the family's 1533-position model. The record is from RNAcentral.